RNAcentral lists this long non-coding RNA (565 nucleotides) under Homo sapiens (human). RNAcentral's name for it is "non-protein coding lnc-ADRA2C-4:1". The record is from RNAcentral. Lineage: Eukaryota; Metazoa; Chordata; Mammalia; Primates; Hominidae.
GUUCCCUUACUCAGUCUCUGGUGGUUCUGCCGGGCGUCGGGCUGUAUGAAGGCCCAAGGGGUGAACAGAUCAAAGGAAGGCACAGUGUUUGCUCUGAGUCUGCAGCCUGCCUGGGGAGUCAGGAUGCUCACACGGGGCCCAGCUGCCUGGGAUGUCCAUGUUCAGUGCCAAAUUGUGAGGUUGGGAUAUAAACACUGGCCCCAUCCCGGCCUCUGCAAUAGGUGGGGGGCAUAUAUUAUUUAUUUUAUUGAAUUUUCACAACCACCUCGAGGUGCUGUGAAAUUUUUCCCUGACUUUAAAGAUGAAGAAACAGGUCCAGAGAGAGGCACAGUGACUUGCACCUUGACAUGCAGCCAGAAAGCAGUGGAGCCAGGAUUCCAGCCAGGUCUGUCUGACCAGCAGCACCGCUCCGGCUACUGCUGGCUGUGCAGUUAGUCCACGAGGAUCUAGGGCUCCUCGGGAAGCCCAUGGGAAGCCUCGCCUUGGUCUAGGAUGGAUGGCACAGGUGAGCCAGGGAAGAACUCUGAAGACGCCCAGCAAGUGGGUGGUGCGUGGAAUGAAGCGG